RNAcentral lists this ribosomal RNA (628 nucleotides) under Microbacterium sp. Ri2Pt_4090. RNAcentral describes it as "bacterial SSU rRNA". It matches the Rfam family "Bacterial small subunit ribosomal RNA", at positions 387 to 1024 of the family's 1533-position model. Lineage: Bacteria; Bacillati; Actinomycetota; Actinomycetes; Micrococcales; Microbacteriaceae. The record is from RNAcentral.
UGCAGCAACGCCGCGUGAGGGAUGACGGCCUUUGGGUUGUAAACCUCUUUUAGCAGGGAAGAAGCGAAAGUGACGGUACCUGCAGAAAAAGCGCCGGCUAACUACGUGCCAGCAGCCGCGGUAAUACGUAGGGCGCAAGCGUUAUCCGGAAUUAUUGGGCGUAAAGAGCUCGUAGGCGGUUUGUCGCGUCUGCUGUGAAAUCCCGAGGCUCAACCUCGGGCCUGCAGUGGGUACGGGCAGACUAGAGUGCGGUAGGGGAGAUUGGAAUUCCUGGUGUAGCGGUGGAAUGCGCAGAUAUCAGGAGGAACACCGAUGGCGAAGGCAGAUCUCUGGGCCGUAACUGACGCUGAGGAGCGAAAGGGUGGGGAGCAAACAGGCUUAGAUACCCUGGUAGUCCACCCCGUAAACGUUGGGAACUAGUUGUGGGGACCAUUCCACGGUUUCCGUGACGCAGCUAACGCAUUAAGUUCCCCGCCUGGGGAGUACGGCCGCAAGGCUAAAACUCAAAGGAAUUGACGGGGACCCGCACAAGCGGCGGAGCAUGCGGAUUAAUUCGAUGCAACGCGAAGAACCUUACCAAGGCUUGACAUAUACGAGAACGGGCCAGAAAUGGUCAACUCUUUGGACA